This 2404-nucleotide long non-coding RNA is filed under the name Pan troglodytes (chimpanzee). Its description in RNAcentral is "long non-coding RNA NONPTRT004077". The record is from RNAcentral. Lineage: Eukaryota; Metazoa; Chordata; Mammalia; Primates; Hominidae.
CCCUGCCUGGCUCCAACACCCCUCCAUUGUGCCUGGUUCUGGGCUGGGCACUAGAGCCAGAGAUGCUGGCAGUUCUGAGCCAAAGUGGAGACCAAAAAGUAAAGUGACAAUCACCAAUUCUGGCUGGCAGCCAGAGUCCUGAGGUGGGCUUCCCUCUGCACAAGACUCUCACCUGCACACUUGCAGGCUUUGGCCCAUGCAAUCCCAAGAGCCAGGAAGGACUUUUGAGCAGAAGGACUGCUCAAAAGCCCUUUCUGGCUCUCUACCCCUUAAAACUCAACUCGACCUUCAAUUGGAGUCCGGGUUCCUGAGGGCUUCUCCAAGACAUACAAGGUGCAUAAUAAAUGUUUGAUGAAUCGUCAAAUGACUGGAGUCCCAUGUGGCUCUCCUUGAUCCUUCCUCUAUGGGUCCACGGUGCUACAGCAGUGCCUGAGCACAGGGCCCUCAGGAAAACGUCUUCUGAACAAAGGAUGGGCAAGAGGCUGUCCUAGGGAGUUGGGGCAGGGUGGGCCUCAGGAAGUGUCCUACUGGGGCACACAGCUGGGGUCUGGGGGUAGGUGGCCAGUCCUGGGCCUGUCAGCACCACGGCCAGCUCCCUGCGCAAGAGCCCUGGAGAAAGGGGCGGGGUACAGCCUGAGAGCAUAAUGAUGUCAGUCGCCAUGGGAACUGACAACUGCGAUGUGCCUCCGUCAGUACUCCAACCACUGGGGACGGCAUGACAGAUUAAACACCAACUAUGUGCCAGGCCAGGCCCUGUGCUAGAUGCUGGGGCAGUGACAGACCCUGAGUGGAUGGGAGGCAUCAGAGGGGUAAUUACAAGGCAGGGAGACAAGCGGUGGCCAUGUUGGGGUCACCCUACCUGGCCUGGGGGGGUCAUGAUGUAAGGACACACCAGCUGCCUCAUUAGCAGAGUGACAGUGUCUGUCCCCGACUUCACAUCCAGAUGUCUGAGCUUUACAUCCUAACUCUGUGAGCUUAGGCAAAUCCCUCCCUCCUCUCUGAGCCUUAGUUUCUGCGUCUGCAAAAGGGGUUAAUUCCUUACAACAAAGUGCCAGGGUCCUUGUGGUAGCUGCCUAAGUGGUACCCGUUGUUAGCAUUGUUUAUGGUCGCUAUCAACAGGUAAGUAGGAAAAAGCUAGGGAAAGGGAAGGAUCCCACAGAACGGACUGCACAGGCCACCACAUGGAGACUUGAGAGAGAGGAGCAAACAGAGAACAUGAAGGAGCUCCAGGCUGCUGGAGAGCAAACCCUCCUGGUGAGUCACUGAGAGCACCUUACCUAUGCAGGGCCAGGCAGGGACCCCCCUAACCUCAGGGCAGGGAGAUCUGUUUCCUCUGCACUAGUGCUAGUUCAGGACAGGGACUCAGAGAAGGUGCCAGAAGGAGGGGCAGUCAUUGCCACUGGCAACAGGCCUGGCUGGCCCUCUCCCAGAGCCAUGGACCUCUGAAGGGCAGUUUCACUCUUCCCAGAGAGCCAGGGAUCCCAAGGUGCAAAGUUUGGAGCCAGGGGCAGGCUGAGCCUCUGUUCUCCUAGUUCCAGCCUCGGCUCUUUAAUGAAAAUUGUCAGUCAAGUAAGACUCCAUCAUCACCUUCCAGCAAAGAAGGAGUGGGGAGAUCUGAGAAUCGAUACUGAACAGCUUCAGUACUACGAUGCCAUAAUGGGGCUGUGAGCUCAGCCGAAAGCCCCCCGCCCAGUUUUUUUUGGAAGUGGUCAUAGAAUCUCUCUGGAGAAACAACAUGGAAAUGGAGACCAAAAGAGGGAAGGAGGGAUGCCACCAGAUGACACUGGGAUCCCGGAAGACGGAACACUGUGUGCAACGGGCAAAGGCUCAGUACUUUACAGACGUCACCUCACGUAACCCACGCCACAACCGGGAGAAAGACAUGAUUGGCGUUGUACCCACGAGGAAACAGAGAGGGAAGGGAGCUGUCCAGGACCACAGGGUUGGUUGGUGGAGCAGGCAGGAAAGCCUCACGGAAGAGGUUGGUCUGGGCCAGACAGGGUUUGAGGAUUCAGGCCCCAAGGGACGGGGAGGAAGAAGACUGGGUCCUUGUGCAAGAAUGGCCCAAGAGUAUUUAAAAGACGCAGUGGCCCAGGUCGGGGGAGGAGAGUGGACAAAAGUGGCUGGCAAGGGCUGGCCUUAGCUUUUAGCCCAAUGCUAAGAUCAGUAGAUGCUUCUGGGGGUCAGGCUGGGGCACAAAUGAAUGGAGCCUUCGAGGCAGGGGUUAGGAAACAGGACAGGACACUCGGCCCAAAUGACAGCGCCACCACUCCACAUCCCAGAGUUCAUAAGCUCUCUCAAUGUUUGUUUUAUUUAAAUCUCCAAGAGUCAAACGCCACUCACCACCCAUGUGUGGGUCAGCCUCCAGCUUUCCACCUCUGCUGUGAGUGAGGGUAGAGGGGCG